RNAcentral lists this small RNA (68 nucleotides) under Lysinibacillus xylanilyticus. RNAcentral's name for it is "Bacillaceae-1 RNA". It matches the Rfam family "Bacillaceae-1 RNA". The record is from RNAcentral. Lineage: Bacteria; Bacillati; Bacillota; Bacilli; Caryophanales; Bacillaceae.
GGUAGAGGAACAAAGGCUAAAACCAUCACGUCCUGUGAUAACGCCUUCGUGACCAACAUCGGUGCUGC